This 361-nucleotide long non-coding RNA is filed under the name Homo sapiens (human). RNAcentral describes it as "HSALNT0370527". Lineage: Eukaryota; Metazoa; Chordata; Mammalia; Primates; Hominidae. The record is from RNAcentral.
UGCCUCUCCUCCAUGGCUGAAGUGUCGCUUUUACAGAUGCCGAAGGUACGAUGCAAAAAAGACUGGAGCCCAUCUUCUGGAUUGAGAGACUGGAGCCCAUCUUCUGGAUUGAGAGGUGCCAGACCAAGAGGGCUGGAGGCCCGGCUGGAGAGGGAAAGCAGGCAUUGCCCCUGAAGGUUCGCAGAGAAGCUAGGAUCUGACCUGGAAGAAAGGAGACAGCCACCUUCUCCAGAACCGCAUUAGCAGCAAUUUCCCGAGGGACAGAAUAAAAUGUGGGAGCCCACUGCCCACACUCCCAAAGACCCAGGAGGACAGAGCUUUGCUUUUUGCAGGGAGAGGCCGUUGUUUGUUUGGGUUUGGG